Molecule: long non-coding RNA, 438 nt
Filed under: Gossypium barbadense (sea-island cotton)
Lineage: Eukaryota; Viridiplantae; Streptophyta; Magnoliopsida; Malvales; Malvaceae
Description: long non-coding RNA (GBAR_LNC004109)
Source: RNAcentral
AGAAGUUGACCCAGAUAAGAUUAAAGCUAUCAUGGAAAUGCCACCACCAAGGUCUGAAAAGGAGGAGAGAGGCUUACCUACUUUCUAAGAAGGACAGACAGGAGGGCAUUGCUUCCUUGGCUUGCUUACCUGGAAUGGAAGAAUGAAGCGCUAAUGCAUUGAUACCAAAUACCAAAGAAAGAUUCAUUGAUCGGAUUGCUUUUGUCCUAAGAAGCAAGGACAGGAAUUGCUACUUGAACUAGAAAGCAUACUACUUAUAUAUAUAUAGAAUAGUUAUUCAUGUGCAUAUCAUGUAGGCAAGGAAAGAGAUUAGUUUAAAGCCAAGUCGUCGACUGACCGAUGGGAUUGAGAGAUUGACUUACCGAUUUCUUUGUUUGAACGAAUUUCAUACAAUCCUGUAUUUGCCCUAUAUGUAUGUUCAAAGCUCAAACUCCCUUU